RNAcentral lists this ribosomal RNA (530 nucleotides) under uncultured bacterium. RNAcentral's name for it is "bacterial SSU rRNA". It matches the Rfam family "Bacterial small subunit ribosomal RNA", at positions 355 to 899 of the family's 1533-position model. The record is from RNAcentral.
UGGGGAAUAUUAGGCAAUGGGGGAAACCCUGACCUAGCCAUGCCGCGUGCGUGAAGAAGGUCUUAGGAUUGUAAAGCGCUUUCAGCGGGGGAAGAUGAUGACGGUACCCGCAGAAGAAGCACCGGCUAACUCCGUGCCAGCAGCCGCGGUAAUACGGAGGGGGUUAGCGUUGUUCGGAAUUACUGGGCGUAAAGCGCACGUAGGCGGACCAGAAAGUUGGGGGUGAAAUCCCGGGGGCUCAACCCCGGAACUGCCUCCAAAACUAUUGGUCUAGAGUUCGAGAGAGGUGAGUGGAAUUCCAAGUGUAGAGGUGAAAUUCGUAGAUAUUUGGAGGAACACCAGUGGCGAAGGCGGCUCACUGGCUCGAUACUGACGCUGAGGUGCGAAAGUGUGGGGAGCAAACAGGAUUAGAUACCCUGGGUAGUCCACACCGUAAAACGAUGAAUGCCAGUCGUCGGGUAGCAUGCUAUUCGGUGACACACCUAACGGAUUAAGCAUUCCGCCUGGGGAGUACGGUCGCAAGAUUAAAA